AUCUUUGCGCCCGAUUUUUGUUCAUUUUUUUAUCCAAUUAUUUUUAUAUUUUAGCCAAUUUAAUUAGUAGGAUUAUUUAGAAUUAACCAUAUUUUAGAUAUAAUUUUAUUUUAUUCUUUUAAUUUUUUGUAUUUAUAAUUUUGUUUUUUUAAAGCCUUUUUUCUAAACUUUAAGAAUCAAGUUUUAAUUUAAAAGAAAAGAGAGUAAAAAUAUCUUCUUCUCCCUCCACAAAUUGAUUGCCAUGCAGCGCAUAUUGAAAGGAUAAUUGAGGGCCACAUAAAUGUUUUUUCUCUCACACAUAAAAAAAUACUCUCUCGUUUUCAGAAGGAAAAAAAGAAGAUUGAGAUUUUUUUGGUUUUUUCUUCUCCUUCAAUCACUAUCUUCUUCCUCUCACCCUCAUUGCUACACAUAAACGCCUCCCUCCGCCACUAAAACCAACUCCAUCCGCCUUUCCUUCUCCAUUCUUCUCUGUUGUCUUUCCACCCUCUUCAACUUUUCACAACUGCGUCGCCCUCAUCACCACGAACAACACAUAAAACAUCGUCGUGAAACCUCCUCAACCGUGCGCACAACAACAACCAUGACAAAUUCCACACUCAUGCUUAUGCAUCCUUAACAAACAACAAACUUCAUAAACAAAACAAUCACCAACAACCUCCAUCAGAACCGAAACUGCCUCCUUCACUAACAACAACAAUAAUUUGAACAGUAAACAACACCUCAACCGUGAGAAACUCAUAACCGGAACUUUUCCAUGCUCGCCGGAACGAACCACAAACCCGAGGUAUCGAUUCGCACUUUAUGUAUUUUGAAUCAUCCAUUAUUGUUUGGUCGUUGUUGUUUCACAUAAGAGAUGAAUGAUAUUUUUUAUUUGAGUAGAAUAGAUGUUUUCGCCCUUCAUGCUGUUUUGAUGUACAUAUAUGUUUUUUUUUUGGAGAAGAGGAACAGUCAUUGUGAAACACGUUGGUUCUACUGAAAAUUGAAGUUAAUCUUUUGCUUUAA
Molecule: long non-coding RNA, 1002 nt
Filed under: Lathyrus oleraceus (garden pea)
Lineage: Eukaryota; Viridiplantae; Streptophyta; Magnoliopsida; Fabales; Fabaceae
Description: Pisum sativum (pea) long non-coding RNA (PSAT_LNC032670)
Source: RNAcentral